RNAcentral lists this long non-coding RNA (206 nucleotides) under Elaeis guineensis (African oil palm). Its description in RNAcentral is "long non-coding RNA (EGUI_LNC030084)". The record is from RNAcentral. Lineage: Eukaryota; Viridiplantae; Streptophyta; Magnoliopsida; Arecales; Arecaceae.
ACCAUUACCCUAUCUCUAAUUUGUUACAAAUUUAGCUGCUAUUCAGGGAUUAAACAUUAGAUCAGAAAUCUAUCGGAUAACAAGGCAGGUCGAGCAUACAAUUAGGUGGUCCAUGCACCAAACAAAGCCAAGCGUACCGAUGACAGCUAUCCAUCUAUCACACUUGGCUGUUUGGUGGAGCCCAAUAACAUCAAGUUGGACAAAUA